UGGGGAAUAUUGGACAAUGGGCGAAAGCCUGAUCCAGCCAUGCCGCAUGAGUGAAGAAGGCCUUUGGGUUGUAAAGCUCUUUUAGUGAGGAAGAUAAUGACGGUACUCACAGAAGAAGUCCUGGCUAACUCCGUGCCAGCAGCCGCGGUAAUACGGAGAGGGCUAGCGUUAUUCGGAAUUAUUGGGCGUAAAGGGCGCGUAGGCUGGCUAAUAAGUUAAAAGUGAAAUCCCGAGGCUUAACCUUGGAAUUGCUUUUAAAACUAUUAAUCUAGAGAUUGAAAGAGGAUAGAGGAAUUCCUGAUGUAGAGGUAAAAUUCGUAAAUAUUAGGAGGAACACCGGUGGCGAAGGCGUCUAUCUGGUUCAAAUCUGACGCUGAAGCGCGAAGGCGUGGGGAGCAAACA
This 402-nucleotide ribosomal RNA is filed under the name uncultured bacterium. RNAcentral describes it as "partial 16S ribosomal RNA". It matches the Rfam family "Bacterial small subunit ribosomal RNA", at positions 355 to 774 of the family's 1533-position model. The record is from RNAcentral.